GUAUUAUAGUGGGUGAUAGUGGAUAGUACUGUAAAGGAAAGUAGAAGUUAAUGGUUAGAGUUAAUUAAAGUAGGUACCUUUUGUGUCAGGGAUAGUUCAAAGUAAUAAUUAUUAAUAGGUCUAGAAAUUUUUUGAGUUAAAAAAUUAAUAUAUCUUUAUAGAAGUAAAGAAUGAAUAUUGUUUUAGUGGUGAAAAUCUUUCGAAAAUUUAGGUAGCUAGUUGAUUAAAAAAUUAUUUUAGGUAUGUGUCUGUAGGAUAUGUAGAGUGAAAGGGUAAGCUUUUUGCUAGUAGAGUAAGAUAUGUCAGAGAAUGUCUAAGAUUAGGCUUAUAAAUAGCUAUAUUUGUAGGUUGUUAUAAAUAAUUUAUUUGUUAAAUUUGUUAUCUAUAUAAUUAUUGGUUUAGUUAGUAAAUAAAUAUCUAAUAUAAAUAAUGAGUUUAUGAGUAUUUAAGUGAGAUAUAUAUAAAGAAUUUGGCUAUUAUUUUUUGGCUGUUUAACAAAAACAUUUCUUUAUGCAGAUAUAAAGUACGGCCUGCCCAAUGAUAUUGAAUGGCUGCGGUAUUUUGACCGUGCUAAGGUAGCAGAAUAGUUUGUUCUUUAAUUGGGAGUUGGUAUGAAGGGUUACACAAAGAAUAUCUUUUAAGUUAAAUUAAGUAAAUUAAGGUUUAAGUCAAAACGCUUAAAUAAUGUAAAGGGACGAUAAGACCCUAAAAGCUUUAUUUAUUAAUUUAUAAAUUAAUUAUAUUGUGAAAAUAUGUAGUUAGUAAGAUUAGCUGGGGAAGUGGUUUUAAGUAAUUAAAAUUUAAUUAUACUAAGGAUUAGGGUACACGGUCUUAUAUAUAAGAGUUGUUGGAUAGAGUUACUUUAGGGAUAACAGCGCAAUGGUUUUGGAGAGUUCUUAUUUAUAAUAUUAUGUGCGACCUCGAUGUUGAAUUAAAGAUAUCUUAAGGGGGCAGAAAACUUAUAAGAGGGUUUGUUCAACCUUUAAAUUUUUACAUGAUUUGAGUUCAAACCGGUUUAAGCCAGGUUGGGUUCUAUCUUUUACUAAAUAAGAUUUACUUUAGUACGAGAGGGCCAAGUAGGUUUAAUAAUU
RNAcentral lists this ribosomal RNA (1091 nucleotides) under Pseudocrangonyx daejeonensis. Its description in RNAcentral is "16S ribosomal RNA". The stretch from base 868 to 1027 matches the Rfam family "Archaeal large subunit ribosomal RNA", at positions 2542 to 2701 of the family's 2987-position model. The record is from RNAcentral. Lineage: Eukaryota; Metazoa; Arthropoda; Malacostraca; Amphipoda; Pseudocrangonyctidae.